CCUGCCCUGAGGGGCAGUGAGCUGCUGCGGGGAGGGCACAGCCCAGAGCCGUGUCCUGGGGGAAUCUGGUCUGGCCUCACAUGGCCAGCAGUGACCACCCCAGGGCGUGUGCCGGGGGAGAUGUUCACUGUUAAACUGGAGGCGCCUGUGCCAGGAGAAGCCUGAGGGAAGACUCUGUUCCUGGGAGAGGCUGAGGCUCCUGGGAGUGCCUGGAGGGGCCGUCCUGGGAGCAGGACAGCAAGGAUUGUCCAUGAGGGGCCAGGGUGGUGCUAGGACGGCUUGGGCUAUGCCUGGGAGCUGGGACCUGUCACUGGUGCCAUGUGUGGAGGAGCCCCUCAGCCUGGUGAGGGCUCAGGCCAGGACUCACCACGUUCCCAUUCCCGGCGGAACAGGCUCUGCGUGAGGCGGGAUGCUGCAGGACACACCGGGGCCCACUCGACCAACACUCUGAGGAGCAUUUCAAGUGCUUUUCCUAAAGCUGAAUUCUCUAUAAAGGAGAAGUGACUAGAAACCCUGAACUGAGUCCCAGGUCUCACUUAACUUUGUAAGGCACAGUGACACACUGAGGCUGCUCCACUUAAGGUAUGGUAUGAACCAGGAGCUGUGGAAUGAGUGUUCACAUGGAUCAUCCUGCCUGUGGAAUGAGUGUUCACAUGGAUCAUCCUGCUGCAGCUAUUCCCGAGCCAGCAGCUGCUGUGUAAGCAGAGCCCAAAAGACAAUCCUUGCCCCAGUGACUGUGUGGCAGAUAAGACAGACAAUGGGCACCAGGAAGGCCCCUGGCUAUCAGGGAAGGAUGGAUACUGUUCAGCCAGGAACGUGACACUUUGGGAACUGUUUGUGUCAGGACUCCCUGCUUUGACACCUUUGAUUUCUGAGACUGCCUCAUUUCAGGAAACCCCAAAGCUCCUCUCCACAAGGAUUUCCCCAUCCAGCAGCUCUUCACUGGAUACUGAAAUGAGAUGGAAGGGCUUGAAUGUUUCCUUGGCAAGAUGGGUGGAUGGCAUUAGUUUAAUCUGUUCUGAUUCUGGUUCUACCAAGUCAACUGGAUCCAAUCACCUCCUCUGCUAAAGGCUGCAGAGCAACAGUCUACUGGAAUAUUCUUUGUGCUGAAAACAGGAAGACAUGGAAUGAGGGUUUGUAACUUUUUUGGAUGACUUUCUAUGUUACAAUUUUUACCUUUAAUAUCACCACUUUAAAUAAGAAUAUUUAUUUGUUGAAAUAAACACAUUUUUUGCCCUGAAAUACUGGAAUAU
RNAcentral lists this long non-coding RNA (1253 nucleotides) under Lepidothrix coronata (blue-crowned manakin). RNAcentral describes it as "lncRNA (ENSLCOG00000000923.1)". Lineage: Eukaryota; Metazoa; Chordata; Aves; Passeriformes; Pipridae. The record is from RNAcentral.